Gallus gallus (chicken) is the source of this 1751-nucleotide long non-coding RNA. The record is from Ensembl. Lineage: Eukaryota; Metazoa; Chordata; Aves; Galliformes; Phasianidae.
AGGACUUGCUCUCCAGGACUCUGCAGGGGAUCAGUGUUUGAUGGCGGCCGGGAGGGAAGCGGCUCUCUUUGUGCUCUCCUCAGAUGGAGGCACUGAUAGCGCUUUGCCCCGGGGCGUUCUGCCGCUGCCGCUCUGAACUUCGGGGCUUUCCUUUAGAGAGACGGAAGGAGCCGUCCCACUGAAGCGGCCGCUGCUUUCAUCUCACCUCUCAGCCCCGGCGCAUCCCACACAGCACCCCUGGUGCCAGUGCUGGGCACGGCGCAGAGGGAAGAGCUGCCCAGUGAACGAGGAGUGAGCGGGGUGAAGGACAUCACUGCCCACUAUGGCAACGGCCGGCACAACAACCGGAGCGCAUCCCCAAUUAAAAGCUGACGGGGAGCUUCCUGUCGGCUAGCCAAGGACCUGGAGGCCAAAAGUUCAGAGACGAGCACAAGCCGCGGCUGCACGGCCGUGAAACGAGGAGCGCAGACCCGCCGAGCCCGGCUGGGCGGCAGGACGGAGCCCGGAGCUCUUCUCUGGCAGCUCCUGACUCUAAAGUUUGGGGUUUCUGCCCUGGGUUUCGGUCCCCUCCGCCUCCUCCCACCCCCCCCGGCACCUCUCUGCUGGUGCGCAGGAACGCCGCACUGCGGGGCUUCUCCCCAUCCCUCCCGGGCAGCACCUCUGCCCGUCAUCUCCUCUACAGCCCUCAUCCGAAAGCGGUCGUUGUGGGGGACGCGGCCCGUUAAAAUCCCAAUGAAACUCCCGUAGAUUCCCCGCCCCAGCUGAGCACUACCAGGAAAACCCUACAGGGAGCAGCGAGGGAGAAUGGGAUCUCUGCACUGCACAGCCUCCCUGCUGGCAUCCACACCGACCCUGCGAGGAGGCAGAGCACUGUACUGAAAAAAAACAACUGCUGCUGGUGUGGUGCCUGGGAGCUGCUGCCGUGUUCCCCAGGCUCAAUGCACAGUGCAUGCUGUGGCCGUGCAGGAACAGAAGAGGCGAAGCUGUGCACUGGCAGCACCGCAGCCCCGCCUGCAGUGACGCACGUGGCAUGCAUGGACUUCUCAGCGGUGGUAGCUUCAGGCUUGUGGGAAAAGGGCACUGUUGCUAUUCUGCAUUGCAUUUGGAAGAAAAGCCAUCACCCAAAGUGGCAUUCAGCUCGGAGGGUUUCCUUUGGCCAGUGCAUAUGGACUUCAUGUUUGGGUGCUUUCUUGCCUUCUGUCUCCCAGCCAGUCUCUCCCUUUCCAGAUUUGCUGCUGGUGGCACACACAGGCCACUGCUCGUGGCUUCAGUGUGCAACGUAGGAACCCUUUUCUGUUCUCCCAGUGCAUGAGAUUGCAAGUUUUCCCCUAUGCUUCUUGCAGCAAAUGUGAAAUUUCCCUUCGGCUCCGGUGGCACUGUGAUGUGUGGACUAAAUUGAUUGGAUUUAAUUCUGUGCAAUGAGCCAGCACUAAGAGCUUUUCACUGCUCAGUCCCAAGAAGCUCCUGGCAAAAGGCAUCCAGCUGCUGGGUGCUGUGCCUCGGAAGGCUCCUGGUUCCAGGAUGGAAAGGGGAACAACAGAACACUGUUGACAGUAAUGGCACAGAGAUGGCUGUGCUCUCCGGUGCAGAGCAGCAGAGAGAUCAGUGGAGCUGGGGGGCACUGAAUCUAAAGCUGAUAAACCAGCCCCAUGGCAGCGAGCUCCAGCCUCCCUUCAGCUCCAGGAAGAGGGUCUGGUCCAAACAGGAAUGUGUAAUUUCAGUGCUGUAAUAAAUCUUAGCUCAAAGAAGGG